UUAAAGUGGCAGAAUUGAAUGCGGGGAAUUUAAGCUUCCUUUAUGGAGUUUCCUUUAUCA
This 60-nucleotide transfer RNA is filed under the name Ornithodoros savignyi. Its description in RNAcentral is "tRNA-Leu". Lineage: Eukaryota; Metazoa; Arthropoda; Arachnida; Ixodida; Argasidae. The record is from RNAcentral.